UUUCAUUCCUGUAGAGCUCUCAACUUGUGCUUCAAAUCAUAGUUUUGAUCUAUUAGUUUGUUUUCUUUGUUUUUCCACUAGAACAGCCUAAAGAGGUCUUUUACAAUUAGCCAUUACCCCAAUUUAAUUCUGCCCUCAUAAAUCUAGCAACUGGUGAAGGGACACUGAGAGCAAACCUCAUCGAAAAUAUCCAAGACUUUUUCUAGACUAUAGCAAG
Molecule: unclassified non-coding RNA, 217 nt
Filed under: Hevea brasiliensis (rubber tree)
Lineage: Eukaryota; Viridiplantae; Streptophyta; Magnoliopsida; Malpighiales; Euphorbiaceae
Source: RNAcentral